This 647-nucleotide ribosomal RNA is filed under the name uncultured bacterium. RNAcentral describes it as "bacterial SSU rRNA". It matches the Rfam family "Bacterial small subunit ribosomal RNA", at positions 54 to 681 of the family's 1533-position model. The record is from RNAcentral.
CAUGCAGUCGAGCGGCAGCGACACAUUGAACCUUCGGGGGAUUUGUUGGGCGGCGAGCGGCGGACGGGUGAGUAAUGCCUGGGAAAUUGCCCUGAUGUGGGGGAUAACCAUUGGAAACGAUGGCUAAUACCGCAUGAUAGCUUCGGCUCAAAGAGGGGGACCUUCGGGCCUCUCGCGUCAGGAUAUGCCCAGGUGGGAUUAGCUAGUUGGUGAGGUAAGGGCUCACCAAGGCGACGAUCCCUAGCUGGUCUGAGAGGAUGAUCAGCCACACUGGAACUGAGACACGGUCCAGACUCCUACGGGAGGCAGCAGUGGGGAAUAUUGCACAAUGGGCGCAAGCCUGAUGCAGCCAUGCCGCGUGUAUGAAGAAGGCCUUCGGGUUGUAAAGUACUUUCAGCAGUGAGGAAGGGGGUAUCGUUAAUAGCGGUAUCUUUUGACGUUAGCUGCAGAAGAAGCACCGGCUAACUCCGUGCCAGCAGCCGCGGUAAUACGGAGGGUGCGAGCGUUAAUCGGAAUUACUGGGCGUAAAGCGCAUGCAGGUGGUUUGUUAAGUCAGAUGUGAAAGCCCGGGGCUCAACCUCGGAAUUGCAUUUGAAACUGGCAGGCUAGAGUACUGUAGAGGGGGGGUAGAAAUUUUCAGGGUGUAG